UAAAAAAAAAAAGAUAAUGACAACAAUUUAUCUAUUAGUCUUGACCAAAUUACGUGCCAGCAGUCGCGGCAACACGCAGAAGACAAGUGUUAUUCAUCUUUAUUAGGUUUAAAGGGUACCUAGACAGUAAAUAAAGCCAUAAUAGGAACUAAUUUGCUAGAGUUUUAUGGGAGAAAGUAGAAUUUAUAGAAGAGCGAUAAAAUAUUAUGAAACUUAAAGGACGGAUAACGGCGAAGGCAACUUUCUAUGUAAAAACUGACGUUGAGGGACGAAGCCCUGGGUAGCAAGAAGGAUUAGAUACCCCAGUAGUCCAGGGAGACAAUGAUGAAUGUCAUAGACUAGAUAAAUUAGUUUAUAAAUGAAAGUGCAAGCAUUCCACCUUAAGACUAAAGCGGUAACGCC
RNAcentral lists this ribosomal RNA (402 nucleotides) under Psoroglaena humidosilvae. RNAcentral's name for it is "SSU rRNA". It matches the Rfam family "Bacterial small subunit ribosomal RNA", at positions 453 to 895 of the family's 1533-position model. Lineage: Eukaryota; Fungi; Ascomycota; Eurotiomycetes; Verrucariales; Verrucariaceae. The record is from RNAcentral.